CAAACAUCAUGAAGUACAAAUAUCAGUCACACUAAAAACAGCAUCCCCACUCAGCAGCAGAUCUCCAGCGCGCAGCAGCAACACAAGGCAGCACAGCAUCCCUCCCAGAACCCCUCGCCUCGGCUCUUUGUCUCCGCCGGAGCCUGCUCCGCUAUCACCUCGUCCUUCACCGGGUAUCCCACCGGAGGCGGCGGCACUGUAUACUCUGUAGCAGUAGCAGCUUGUUGGUGGUCAG
RNAcentral lists this unclassified non-coding RNA (235 nucleotides) under Hevea brasiliensis (rubber tree). The record is from RNAcentral. Lineage: Eukaryota; Viridiplantae; Streptophyta; Magnoliopsida; Malpighiales; Euphorbiaceae.